CAUCUCUUCAAACCUCCCAGGCGGCCGAGCCUCUGCAACACUCCCAAGUUUUGCCGACGGACAGGACCCCACCAGUGUCGAUCGAAUUUUUUGCGACGUCCGGACUCCUACGGGAGCCGGACCUCGUCCCCAACUCCGACUGCAGGAAGACUUCGUCCAGACUCCUACGAGAGCCGGACUUCGCCCCCGACUUCAACCGCCAGCAGACUUCGUCCGGACUCCU
RNAcentral lists this long non-coding RNA (223 nucleotides) under Elaeis guineensis (African oil palm). RNAcentral's name for it is "long non-coding RNA (EGUI_LNC079695)". The record is from RNAcentral. Lineage: Eukaryota; Viridiplantae; Streptophyta; Magnoliopsida; Arecales; Arecaceae.